GGAUAACAUACCGAAAGGUAUGCUAAUACGGGAUAAUAUAUUUGAGAGGCAUCUCUUAAAUAUCAAAGGUGAGCCAGUACAGGAUGGACCCGCGUCUGAUUAGCUAGUUGGUAAGGUAACGGCUUACCAAGGCGACGAUCAGUAGCCGACCUGAGAGGGUGAUCGGCCACAUUGGAACUGAGACACGGUCCAAACUCCUACGGGAGGCAGCAGUGGGGAAUAUUGCACAAUGGGCGAAAGCCUGAUGCAGCAACGCCGCGUGAGUGAUGAAGGCCUUCGGGUCGUAAAACUCUGUCCUCAAGGAAGAUAAUGACGGUACUUGAGGAGGAAGCCCCGGCUAACUACGUGCCAGCAGCCGCGGUAAUACGUAGGGGGCUAGCGUUAUCCGGAUUUACUGGGCGUAAAGGGUGCGUAGGCGGUCUUUCAAGUCAGGAGUGAAAGGCUACGGCUCAACCGUAGUAAGCUCUUGAAACUGGGAGACUUGAGUGCAGGAGAGGAGAGUGGAAUUCCUAGUGUAGCGGUGAAAUGCGUAGAUAUUAGGAGGAACACCAGUUGCGAAGGCGGCUCUCUGGACUGUAACUGACGCUGAGGCACGAAAGCGUGGGGAGCAAACAGGAUUAGAUACCCUGGUAGUCCACGCUGUAAACGAUGAGUACUAGGUGUCGGGGGUUACCCCCUUCGGUGCCGCA
RNAcentral lists this ribosomal RNA (689 nucleotides) under uncultured bacterium. RNAcentral's name for it is "bacterial SSU rRNA". It matches the Rfam family "Bacterial small subunit ribosomal RNA", at positions 141 to 850 of the family's 1533-position model. The record is from RNAcentral.